CCUACGGGUGGCUGCAGUGAGGAAUAUUGGUCAAUGGACGAGAGUCUGAACCAGCCAAGUAGCGUGAAGGAUGACUGCCCCAUGGGUUGUAAACUUCUUUUAUAUGGGAAUAAAAUGUUCCACGUGUGGGAUUUUGUAUGUACCAUAUGAAUAAGGAUCGGCUAACUCCGUGCCAGCAGCCGCGGUACUACGGAGGAUCCGAGCGUUAUCCGGAUUUAUUGGGUUUAAAGGGAGCGUAGGUGGAUUGUUAAGUCAGUUGUGAAAGUUUGCGGCUCAACCGUAAAAUUGCAGUUGAAACUGGCAGUCUUGAGUACAGUAGAGGUGGGCGGAAUUCGUGGUGUAGCGGUGAAAUGCUUAGAUAUCACGAAGAACUCCGAUUGCGAAGGCAGUUCACUGGACUGCAACUGACACUGAGGCUCGAAAGUGUGGGUAUCAAACAGGAUUAGAUACCCGAGUAGUC
RNAcentral lists this ribosomal RNA (460 nucleotides) under uncultured bacterium. RNAcentral's name for it is "partial 16S ribosomal RNA". It matches the Rfam family "Bacterial small subunit ribosomal RNA", at positions 338 to 795 of the family's 1533-position model. The record is from RNAcentral.